Poecile atricapillus (Black-capped chickadee) is the source of this 541-nucleotide long non-coding RNA. RefSeq lists it as uncharacterized. The transcript is spliced from 3 exons. The record is from RefSeq and is a predicted model, not a curated record. Lineage: Eukaryota; Metazoa; Chordata; Aves; Passeriformes; Paridae.
UCGGCCGCCGGGGAGCCCGUCCGUGGCUCGGGCACUGCCCGGCGUGGCACAGCGGCCUGGCUGCUCCCGACAGGGAGGGGCGGCAGGGACCCUGCAGCAUCGUACCCUCCGCGCUGCGCCCCUCCGAGGCUGCGGGCGCCGCCAGGGAUAGAUACGGACAGAUACCCCCACACCGCGGCUGUGAGGGCAGACAGAGCUGAGGUGCAGCGGCGGAUUCCAUGCCCGAGUCUUCCAUGGAUACACCACGGCGCGUUGGUGCCUUGGAGGUCCCCAGAGAGGCCACACGGUGUCUUGGAGCGCCACCUCGUGACCGUCAGGCCAGAGCCUUUAUUUUCCAAGAUUUUGGAAGGAGUUUUGUUCUAGGUGAAAAGCAAAGUGGAAGAAGGGCAAAGGGGAAGUCCACAGAUAAGAAUGAGACCAAGAUGAAAGGUUAAAAUAGAAGGGAGGUUAUUUCAUAGUGCCUCUAUAAAAAACUGCAAUUAUCUUGUUGUAAUUUGAACCUAUUAGCUUGUUUAAAUUGGUGCUAAUAAACUGUAAAAUC